This 19766-nucleotide long non-coding RNA is filed under the name Lynx pardinus (Iberian lynx). The record is from RNAcentral. Lineage: Eukaryota; Metazoa; Chordata; Mammalia; Carnivora; Felidae.
UUCAGUUUUAUUGGUUGCACGCACAGUCAGUUAUUUCAUCCAGAAAAUCUGAAGGCCCUACAAACUAACCAGGUAAGGAUUGUAAUUCCUUGAUGCAUUUAAUGAAAGAAUAUUAUCAUUUGAUUACAUAGGUUCUGGAGAAUGCUAAAAGCAUGGUGGGUUUUUUUUUUCCCUGUGUUUUUUUCUUCCCUUGGUGGUCAGGUGGGUGCAUGAUUCUCUAAUUUGCAUAAACAUCAGAUCUAUGAAUAAUUCAUCAGGGUUAUUUUAAACACUAGGCUUCUACUUUGGAUGGCACUAGGGUACCGCCAUGUGAUUGGCUGAAUGCUGUUUUCAUCACCAGCAGAAUUCCUAUAACAUGAAAGCACCUAAAGGGGCUGAAUUGAAUAUACAGUAUUUGUUUUUUGAAAAAUGUCUGUUAUCUUUUCAAAGCAAAUUGUGCUCUUCUCUCCCUCCCUAACAUUAGAACUUGUAGCUUUUCAUGAUAAAUACAUUACAAGCUCAAAUGUGGCUACCGUUUGUAGACUUGACCGGUAUCUAUGAUUUCUGGAGAAUGGGGUAGCAGCUGUAUUCUUCUAAACAUGCAUAAACAUGAGCGACAUGUAAAUAAGAAACUGUCACAUGCAUAUGGAGCCCUGAACAGCUCCAUCGCCAGGAUCCAUCUAUUUCUCUUUAUCAGAAUAUUCUCUGAAUAGAUAACUUUGAGGCUCUUUCAUCAAUUUUAAAAUGCCAUGGACAAUUAUGGCACUGUAUAUGCAUAUAGUGAGCAUAUAUGAUCUGACAAAUUAUUUCUUGUGUAAUAUUUAAUUUAUAGUUUCCUCUCAGCCCACCUACAGAUUUUUAAAUUUAGUAGUUCCUUGCCAUACGAUAGUGACAGGAAAACUGUUAAUUAAGAAUGACCAGCUAAUUAAUUAAGAUAUUAGGGUGUAACUCACUCCCACGAUUUACUAAAAAUAAAUUAUGCCUUUAUGCUUGUGGAGAUGAGGAACACGCAGGUUUACAUCAUUCUUUGUUAGUUACUUGAACAUUAGCCAUUUGCAUUUCUGGUCUCAGAGUCCUCACUGACAAGAUUCUCACUGUAAGCAUUUGUGAUCUUGAAACAUUACAGAAAUAGGGGAUUGGGGGAUGGUAUAAAUUGAAUUUACUCUUUGGCACAUUCCAUUUUUGUUUUCCUACUUCAUACAGGAAUGUAUCACAAAUAAGAUGUUGAACAAUUACUGUUAUGAAAGGUAUAGUGAAUGACAUGUAUAAUCAGUCUGUGUAAUCAACUAAAAAGUACUUCAAGUUCAUUGUAUUUUCUAUAUAUUAUAUGGAUAAAAAUACCAAAGGCAUACUUAACAACUAACAAAAAAGGCUGAAAAUUUCUCAGUAUUUCAUAGGUUUGCCACAUAAUUUUUUAAGUUUAUUCUAAAUCAAUAUUAUACUGUAUUAUUUUUCAGUCUUUUUAUAAACAGUAUUCAAAUAUGAGCUUCAAAUGAUGCUGAAGCUGAAGAAAAAUGAAAACCUUUUCAUUUCCUUUUCUAGCUCUCUAUAAAGCUAAUGAUAGUGUUGGACUAGUUUCUAUUUCUCUUUAUUUGAAUUAUUUGUAGUUAGAUGAGGGUCUUUCUUUCUUUUCUCUCUCUCUCUCUUCCUUCCUUCUUUCCUUCCUUCCUUCACUCCCUCCUUCCUUCCCUUCUUCUUUCCUCCCUCUCUUCCUUCCUUUUUUUCUCUCCCUUCCUCCCUCCCUUUCUCUCUCUUUCUUUCCUUCUCUAUAUCUUUAGAAUCAAUACACUAAAAAAAUAUUUUUGAGAUAAUAUUCCUUCAAUCAGAAUCAACUUUCAUAAGCAAAUUUGACAUAUUUAUUAUUUUACCUGUUGACAAAAUACUUUAUAAUAAAUGAUAUGGAAAAAAGGAAUUCAAAACAAAAAUUGUUUAAAAUGAGAUAAAAUUGCAAAUAUCUCUCAGAAUUCCAUGUACUUAUAUUAGCAAUUUUGUUUUACAUUUAAUUAUAAAUAAUAAUAUUAAUCUCACAUCUACAGUGUGCUAUAUUUAAUUAAAUCUUGCAGGAUUCAGUAUGGAUGCUGUUUAUUUAAUUAUCAGCCAUUAAAUGUUUACAGCUAUCAUAAAGAGCAAGCAAUCUUUACUAUACUAUAUAGAGAUUAUAGAUUUGGAACUAAUUAACCAAACAUUCUCAUUCAAGUGAUGCUCAUUCUACUGAAUACUUUUCAUGUGAAAUCAGCUAAACUUACAUUUCUUCAAUAUUUAGUCCUUUCACUUGUUUCAAAACAGUCAAAAUUAUUUUCUAAACAAGAAAUUAAUAGUUAUAAUUUCAGAAGAGAUCUUAUCCUUCUUUAGAUUUAUGACAGCAUGUUUAUAAUUCUAUUUUAGGUACAUAUAAUUUUGUUCUUUUACCCUUUAUAUUAUUUGGAAUAAUAACUGAAGCUCUUUUGAAGAAAGCAUAUUUUAAAUGAAGUUGGAAACCACCAAGAUAGUGAAUGACCACAGAAUUUACCUUUCAUUUCAGUAAGAGAUUCUUCCUAGAAGGGCAGCAGGCAUCUUGUAUUGCAUAAGCUUUGUAUAAAGAAAACAAAGCAUUUGUUUUAAAUUUUGGAAAGUAAUCAUCACAAAAAUAUAAUUAAAAUUAUAAUACAUUACAUUCCUAAGGACGAAAAAUAAUUUGUAUCUUUCAAAUAGUCUCAUUUCAUGUAGCGCUUUUAUAUUUUUAGACAUCUAAGAAGAAAAGCAGUUAGGUAUAUGUUUAUACUGUCAUUUAAAAGACAUUUUUCAUUAAAAAAAAAGAUUUUUUAACAUCUGAUCACUCUGUAUUUGGUGGAUAAAAAAUAAACAUUCAGAUACUAUUAUCUGUAAUGUUUCCAUCCUCAAUGUAAUCUUCUGAUUAAAAUUGUCAGAAAAUUGUCCAAAAAUUGUUUUCAUGGGAUUUAAGCUAUUAAAGCUGUGUAUAUGUCAUUACUAAAUCAAUUGGUAGUUAAGGAAAAUUGCAACCAACCAGUGCUUUGAUCUAUAUAAAAUAAAACCUGGAUUGGUCUACUUAAGUUGAAGCCUUAAACUUAUCUGUACAAGGAACACUUGGCUGUACAGAAGUUUUGGAACUGAAUAUCACCUUAAGGCAAGAGAUAUCAAUUAUCUUUUACAGAUCCCCUAGCAAGUUCAUGCAUCCUUAUAAAAGACUGAAUGUUCGCAAUAAAUCUAGGAUGUCCUUUAGGAGUUCUUAGUCUAAUUGACAUGACCCAUAUACAAAUCUCUCCACCCAGUGUCACUCUUCUCCAAGGAACCCAAUCAUUCACAUUGGCAAAUAUACUUGAAAUUUUCUUUUCAUUUUCCUGAAAUAAUACUGUUUAAAUCUAGACAGAAUAGACCAAGUCUUGUUUAAUAACACUGCGUGUGGGGGCGCCUGGGUGGCGCAGUUGGUUAAGCGUCCGACUUCAGCCAGGUCAUGAUCUCGCGGUCCGUGAGUUCGAGCCCCGCGUCAGGCUCUGGGCUGAUGGCUCAGAGCCUGGAGCCUGUUUCCGAUUCUGUGUCUCCCUCUCUCUCUGACCCUCCCCCGUUCAUGCUCUGUCUCUCUCUGUCCCAAAAAUAAAUAAAUGUUGAAAAAAAAUUAAAAAAAAAUAACACUGUGUGUGAGUUAUCCCAUUAAGUUUCUUAGUAUAGAGGAGGCCAAGGAGGAGGAAAGGAAAUGACAAAUUGGCUUACUUUUGAGUUCUCUUAUUCUGAUUGGAGUUCCCCUCAACUACUCUGGUGGCUUGACUCUAUUGGUUAAAAUUUGUAUACUCAAUAUUUUAAUGGGUAGGGUUUGCAAAGUUAUUGGGUAAUGAAUUCAUAGCUAUUCUUAUAAUACAGUCCUUGUCAUAUUUAGGUUAUCAGCCAAUAUCAAUAAAGAUGCUACUGGCUUAGGUAGUCUAUAUUUUUAUUAAAUUUUAAGUUCAGACUUUGUUUGCAAUUUCCUAAGUACCACUGACCCAGUGGCACUCUGAACUUAGUGGUGAGGAGAGCAAAAAGUAUUUAUAACUAAAAUUCUAUUUUAAAGGUUAUUUUUGAGGGAACUAAAACAUUUUCAGUCUUCUAUCAUACCAUUUAUGAAGGACAUAUAUGAUAUAUUGAGAAUCUUCCUGGGAUGACUACUUAAAAUAGAACUGUAAGGAGAAAUUUUAACAAGAGGCUCUUUUAGGAUUAUCAUGUAUUCUCUUAUUUGUUAGCAUAGUGUAUUACAUUUAUAAAUUUUUUUUAUCGUGACUCUUGAACAAAUUACUCUGGAUUCAAAGAGUACUAUAUGCAGUGUUUUUGCAUUUCUAAUUUUAAGUGAGGCUGGUUAAAAAAACUGUUUUCUUUUUUGUCAAGUUUUAGUAUCAAAAUUAUAUUAACCUUAUAAAAUGUGUUGAGCAGAUUUCCUCUUUUCUCUGACACAGGUUGUAUAUGAAUUAUCUAUUUCUUCAAGUUUUGCAAAAAUGCCUAUAAAUCUAACUGGGCCAGGCAUCUUUUGAGGGGAAUGUUUUUUUCUUCUUGAUUCAAGUUCUGGAGUGGUAGUGAUCAAUUGGGUUAUUUCUUCCUGUGUGUAUUUCGAUCAUUUAUAUUUUUUCUAGAAAAAGGUUCUUUGCACCUAACUUUCAACUUCAUUAACAUGAACUUUUUCAUUGCAUUUUCUUAUGAUUUAUAAAUUGUCUACUAUAUGUGUGACAUGUCCCUUUUUACAUUUUGUAUUUUAUCUAUUUGUGAUAUUCUAUUUUUUUCCCUUGGUCACUCUUGCAAGUAAGCGGUUUAUCUGUUAUCAAUACUUUCAAGAAGUAGUUUGGGGUCAUCUAUAUAAUUUCCUUCUCUUUAAUUUCAUUCAUUUCUAUUUUUAUAGCUUUGUGACCUUUAGUUCCUGAGAAAUUGUUGCAAAGCUUUGCUCUAGCUUCAAAAUUCUGUGGUUCUAUAAAAAGUUAUCCUAUGUUUAGAAGCCAAUGGAACACUCAUAUACACAGAAAAUGGAGUGGGAUGCUAUUACUAAUUUGGUGAACUUAUUUUUUAUGUAGAAACCUUUUAUCCUAAAUAAUCACAACCAGACCAUUUCAUAGGGCCAUCAGCAGACUUUAGCCUUGGAGGCAAUCUACUUGGAAAGACACCUAUUCUGCUAUCCUGAUAACAUGAUUUUUCUUAGUGACUUUUUAAAAACUGUAUCAUUUCAUUUUGACAAGAGCUCAAAUAGUCCACAAAAUAGUAUUUGAAAUAUGUUGUGCUCACAAUUAAACACAAUUACCUUAAUUUCUUAGAAAGUAUUUGUGAAAAGUUCACAAUGCAAUACACAUUUUAUAUAUUUUUAAUUUUUACAAUAACAUUUAUUUACUUUUGAGAGAGAGAAAGACACAGAGUAUGAGCAGGGGAGGGGCAGAGAGAAGGGAAACAUGGAAUCUGAAGCAGGCUCCAGGCUCUGAGCUGUCAGCACAGAGUCCAAUGUGAUGCGAGCCUCGAACCCAUGAACUGUGAGUUUAUGACACAAGCUGAAGUUGGACACCCAACCAACUGAGUCAUCCAGGCGCCCUUGCAACACCCAAUUGUUUUAGACUCACACAGAAGAUCACUAAUCUACUUGGGAUUUUGUGUUUUACUUUCUCCAUUUUGUGAGUGGACCACUAACACAAAAUUAUCUUAAAAUCAGAUAAAGCUAAUGAAAAAGUGCAUCAGUAUUCUACUCUGCUUGCUUUGAUAGUAUUUUCUUAGUAAAAUCCAAUUCAUGCCCUUGGUAUUUUAACAUUAAGUUAAGUUAAAUUCUCAGUUAAUAGACACACAUAAAAAUCACAGACUGAAUUUUUACUUGUUUCAAGAGUUGGUUUUUGUUCGCUUAUGUGAUUGUUUAGUUGCCUGUUCAAAAAUUCUUCUAGAAUGAACUGGUAUGAAUACCAACGUUUAUUCUUCCCUCUAAGCCUGGUAACAUGGUAAGUCAUUUGGUCUAAACAAAUGCUGCAGUCAAAGCUACCUGUUGGAAAUAUUUUAAGUUCCAUAGACAUUUAUUUUUUAAUUUUUAAGUUUAUUUAUUUAUUUUUAAGAGAGAGAGGCAAGGGAAGAGAGAAAGGGGGACAGAGAAUUGGAAGCAGGCCCUGUGCUGUCAGCAGAGAGCCCAGUGUGGGGCUCGAACUCACAAACCGUUAAGAUCAUGACCUGAGCGGGUGCCUGGGUGGCGCAGUCGGUUGAGCGUCCGACUUCAGCCAGGUCACGAUCUCGCAGUCUGUGAGUUCCAGCCCCGCGUCAGGCUCUGGGCUGAUGGCUCAGAGCCUGGAGCCUGUUUCCGAUUCUGUGUCUCCCUCUCUCUCUGCCCCUGCCCCGUUCAUGCUCUGUCUCUCUCUGUCCCAGAAAUAAAUAAACGUUGAAAAAAAAAAUUAAAAAAAAAAAAAAAAGAUCAUGACCUGAGCCGAAGGCAGAUACUUAACGGACUGAGCCACCCAGGUGCCCCAACUACAGAAAUAUAAUGAAAUAAAUUCCAAAAAGAAAAUAAGAACUUUCUGGAGAAAAGGUGUUUUAUAGAAUAUAGUAACCUUGUGGAAUAUGGUAACCUUGACUGACAGCUAUGACAUUAGAAUUUUGUCAUCAGUUAUAGCCUCCUUACACUUUUUAAAAUUUAUACUAUAUGAAUUUGACCUACUUUAGUUAAUUUUUUAAAAAUGCUCUGAUUAAUUUAUCUGCUUUUAAAAUGUAAGUAAAUUUGAGAAGAGGAAAAUAAUUAUUCAAAUGCUAGUGCUAUAUACAAGUGGGCAAACAUGUAGGAAAAACUUUAUUUUAAAUACAAAUCAUACAUUACUGAGAUAUGUUUUAGCCAUGAUUAUUUUCAUUCCAAUGUGAUCAAUUUUACAUUUCCUUCUUAACAUGAUUUCAAGAGCAACUUUCUACUUAUUUCAAGGUCUGUAAAUUGUUUAGUUCAAUAUCUCGUUCCCAGAUAUUUGUAUCAAAAUAUGUCUGAGCUUGCACCUAUAUUUUCACAUUAAAUUAGACCAUUAAACCUAACUUCAAAUACCCAACUCAGUGAUUCUUUUUCUCUGAGACUACCCAAAUUCCUUUGCCACCAAUUUUGAAGUCUUCUGGUUACAGUGAGAAGAAUUUUGCCUACCAACAGACUAUUUUAAUAAGUCACAUAAAGUACCCUGGAGAGAAUCUGAUUUCACACAGAACAGAGAAUAAAGUCUCAAUAGUGGUUGUUUCUUGAUAUCUCUGAGACAAUAAAUGAUGUUUUAAAAGUAGUAAUAUCAAGAUUUUGGGAGUUUUUACUUAUAAUUAACUUACCAUACCUUUGUGCAACCUGAUAGGAUUUUUACUUGAUGGCAGAUUUGUGUGACAUAGUGGAACAAGCUGGGAAGAGAGUCAAAUCCCAUACCAAAUCUUGCAAUUAUAUAAGGACUCUCCUGGAAAAGAGUUCUCAUUCUUUUAUAAGUACAAUGCAGUAUUAUAUUACCAGUAUUUAUAUUUUAUAAAUAAAGCAUAGAAUGUCUUCUAUCUUCCUGGUUUUUUUCUUUGAAAAAUAAACAAUAAAUAACUUUCUCUAAGUACUGAGCCUCACGUGAGGCAAUCUGUUAAAGGGCAGUCACAAUAAAAAAAAAAAUAAUAAAAGCAUUGCUUAGAAAUACUUUCUUCUUUAUGUCAAAAUUUGUAGGUUUUUUCUCUUUAUGUUACCAGAAACAUAGAAGAAUCUUGUAUUAAGUGUUCAUCUGCUUCUUCUGUUCUUGUCCACCUAAUAGGUUAGUCUUUGAUAAUUGUAUAAAAUAAAUUUUACUGAGGCUGAUUAUAAUAUGCCAAACAAUAGAUGCAAGCAUGAGAAGAGAAUAUGAAGCAAUAGCAGAUGAUGAAUUUUUAAAAAAUCAAAAAACAUCCCUUUCAUCUAAAUGCCUAGGGGAGGGUGUGGGGAGAGAGAAAGGAAAGAAUAUUGCAUUAUCUACAUGCAAAAGAAUGAAGUGGAUGUUAUCUUACAAAAAUUAACUCAAAUGGAUUAAAAACCUAAAUGUAAGACCAAAAACUAUAAAACUCUUAGAAGAAAACAUAGGGAUAAAACUUGAUGACAUUGGAUUUUACAAGUAUUUCUUUGAUAUGACACCAAAAGCACAGGUAACAAAUUCAACAUAAACAACACUACAUCAACCUUAAAACCUUCAUGCACAUCGGAGGAUAAUCAACCAACUGAAAAAGAAACCUAUGGAAUGGGAGAAAAUAUUUGCGAUCAGAUAUCUUAUAAGGAUUUAAUACCCAGAAUAUAUAAAAAGCCGCUACAACUCAACAACAAAAAACAAAUAAUCUGAUUUUAAAAUGGACAAAAAACUUGAAUAGACAUUGCUUUACAUAAAAUAAACAAAUGGUUAAGAAACGUAUGAAGGGAUCCUUAAUAUCACUAAUCAUUGAAGAAAUGCCAACCAAAUUGACAAUAAGAUAAUACCUCACACCCAUUAGGAUGGCUAAUAUCAGAGGAACAGAAAAUAACAAAUGCUGGAGAAGAUGUGGAAAUAUAGGAGCACUUGUGCACUGUUGGUGGGAUUGUAAAAAGUGCAACCUCUACAGAAAACAAUAAGGCAGUUUCUUAAAAAAUUAAAAUUACCAUGUGAUCCAGAAAUCCUUACAUUUCUAAAAGAAGUGUAAGCAGGGUCACAAAGAGAUAUUUGUACAUCUACGUUCUUGGCAACGUUAUUCACAGAAGCAAUCCAAAUCCAAACUUUAUCACUGGAUGAAGAGACAGACAAAAUGUGGUAUAUACACAUAUAUAUGUACCCACACACAUCUAUACAUAUAACCUAUGUAUAUACAUACAAGAUGGAAUGUUAUUUAGACUUAAAAAGAAUAGAUAACCUUUUACAUGCUGCAACAUGGAUAAACCUUGAGGACGUUACACUAAGUGAAGUAAGCUAAUCACAAAAAAAGUCUAUACUACACGACUCCACUAAUACGAGGCAUCUAAAGUCGUCAAAUUCAUAGAAACAAAAAGUAGAAUGGUAGUUACCUGUGGCUGUGGAGAGGAAGAAACAGGGGCAUUUUUGUUCAACAGGAAUAGUGUCAGUUUUGCAAGACAGUAGGGUUCUAGAGCUCCGUUGCACUGCGCAGUAAUGUGAAUAGACUUAACGCUACUGAGCUUAAAAAUGGUUAAGAUGGUCAAUUUUAUGUCACGUGUUUUUUGUUUUUUGUUUUUACCGCAAUUAAAAAUUUUCAAGAGGUUUAAUAGCUCAACCCAAAUUACGCCAAACUUUUCACUAUUAGGAAAGAAGUGUUUGGGGCGCCUGGGUAACUCAGUUAAGCAUCUGACUUCAGCUCAGGUCAUGAUCUCUCAGUUCACAAGUUCAAGCCCCACAUCAGGCUCUGUGCUGAGAGCUCAGAGCCUGGAGCCUGCUUCAAGUUCUAUGUCGCCCUCUCUCUCUGUACUUCCCCCACUUGUGCUCUGUCAAUCUCUCUCUCUCUCAAAACUAAACAUUAAAAAAUGGUUUCAAAUGUGUUAAAAAAUUAAGUCUUAACAAAUUUUUGAAAGAACAGUAUAAUUUCAAAGUGUUUAACAGAGGAAGUCAGUAACAUACAUGAAAUUAAAGUUUGAAAAAUCUGGGUAUAGGUAAUUGAGCACACUGGAAAAUGCCCACUUUAUCCUAAGAUAUAUCUACUUAUAUUUGGAUCCUGGAGAGUUAGAGCACAGUCAUCUUUUGUUGUACAGUCUGAUUAAAAUUUUUAUCAUCUUUUGUUUUUGAUAUUUUUACUUUUUCCUGUUUUUUUUUUUUUUUUUUUUUUUUUUUUUUUCUUUUUUUUUUUUUUUUUUUUAAUUUUUUUUUUCAACGUUUUAUUUAUUUUUGGGACAGAGAGAGACAGAGCAUGAACGGGGGAGGGGCAGAGAGAGAGGGAGACACAGAACCGGAAACAGGCUCCAGGCUCCGAGCCAUCAGCCCAGAGCCCGACGCGGGGCUCGAACUCACGGACCGCGAGAUCGUGACCUGGCUGAAGUCGGACGCUUAACCGACUGCGCCACCCAGGCGCCCCGCUUUUGUUUCUGUUUAAACAAAUGUGCCCCGCAAUGGUUCAAUAAAUAAGACAAAUGCUGUGACUAUAAAAGCUGCAGUUUGUAAUAUACCACAUCUAGAACCCAGAACAAAUGAAUUAGACAGAAGUGGUCAUUAUUCUAAUUAAACAAUCAGGUAACAUCACGACAAGUUUGCAGCAUCAAAACUGUCCAUUUAAGUCCUUUUUCUUAAUGAUCAGAUGCCUCAUGUUUUCGCCUGCCUCCUCAUCGUGUUUUGUGUGAGAUCCAUUACAGGACGGGAACUUUUUGGACCUCCAACAAUGGCAAAACACAGCUUUAUCUCCCAAAGCCUCCAUGUCAAAAGCAUGUUUUCUACCUUGGGGCUGUCUUUCUGGAUGUGAGGUUUUACCAUAGAUCUGUUGCGAUGAUUUCUAACAUUAAACCUUUUGUAGGCUAGAUAAUCAGUCGCAGCUGUGUCAGGAGCAAUGGUACCUGUUGCGAUCUAUUCAACUCGUACGUAGAGGUCAGACUCAUGGCACCGUUGCCUGCAAGGUGUGUGUGCAGGACCCUAAGAACAGGCUCUCGUGGAAGCAGGGCUGGCGUAAAGGCGUGAAAAGUGGACUAAGCGUACUGAUGCCUGGCAGACGCCGAGGUGGGCGGUAAGCACAUGUGUGCUUCUGGUAUUCUUAAUUAUCUAGCUAUCCAGCUGUCUUUAACUUUCCAAGCACCCAUCCAUUCACCCAUCCACGCAUAUGUAAUUUCCUCCUUCCUCGCCUUCCUUCCACCCUGCAAUACCUGUAGGUGCUUACCAUGGCCCUAUGUUCCUAAACAUUUUAAUUCUCUAAGAACUUAAAGAAUGUUGAAGGAAGGUCUCAAAGAAUUUUUAGGAGUUACCAUCAUAUUGAUAAGACUAUGGACACAUCUUGUACGUACCUAUCAAAUCCCCCAGAUGAUAAGCAACAGCAAACGUGACUCCUCCUUUUCUCAGUCCGCGUGACAAAACGUAGCUGCCACCGCGUUUGCUGUUCUUCACACUAGUUGCAGUGUCGGGACAACUGCACAUUUUCCACAGUGCUCUCUAGCAAAUGUUUUGAAAUUUACCCUCCAGAGACCAUCUGCUAUAAAUGGGCUUCAGUGGAGUUAAUGAAUAUUUUAUUACUGUCUCGCGUAAUUUUGGCUUAAAAUGGAAAACAUGGGUUAAGUGUAAAGUGUCAAAUUAACAGAAAUGCUUCACUGAACCAUUCAGUCUCUGAAAAAGUUUUGUUAAGUAUAUGUGUGUAUUUCGUGUAAUCAGUUUACCAAUGUGAAUAUAUGCCAGGGAAAACAUGAAUGACUCAAUAUGAAAUGCCCAAUACUUUCUAGGCAUAAUUUCUGGCACCAUAAACACAUCACUUUUGAUUGAUUUGAAAUAAGGCAGUCAUUGACUGGUUGAACGAAUCUGAUAGGUCAUACGUUCUCUAGAAAGUCAAAUGCCUUGAGAACAUUUUCUGCAGUAAAGCUAUUCACCACACACCAUUUUUUCUGUUGUCACUAUUUGAUCAUCCUUUGCUUUGUGACCGUGUAAAAUAGUGCUGAAUUUCUCAAGUUGUUCAUUAUUUGCCUAUGGGAGAAUUACUGUGGAGUCUGGGUCAAAUUUGGGGCUUUAGCCUUCAAAAUUCCUUCUUUCUAAAAUAAAGAACCAACUAUUAGUUGAACUAUGUAUAGUUACAAAACAUCACACCUUUGCAUUGCAGCAACAGUGUAUAUGUUUUCUAUGGUUUUAAAAACAGAUGAGCUGAAAUAUCAGGUGAGAUUUGAUGACUUCAUGUUGCUCUGGUCACAAGAUGCAGUUAAAAAAUAUCUACCGAAGAUCUAUGUGUCUGAGACAAUGUUAAAAUUUUCAGAUAUAUCAUCUCACUUUAUCUCCCCAAUUACAAUGAUUUAUGAGAAUGCAUAUCAGCUACACUUUACAGUUGAGAAGGUGAUAGGUCAGUCACAGAUCAGGAUCUCACAAUGUGUGAGUUUGAGCCCCACAUGAGGCUCUGUGCUGACAGUGCAGAGCCUGCUUGGGAUUUUCAUUCUCUCUCCCUCUCACUCUGCCUCUCUCCCUCUCUCUGUCUCUCAAAAAAUAAAUAAAUAGACUUAUAAAAAAUUACAAAAAAAAAAAGGAAGGGCCAAACAGUUUAUCCAAGACCACCCACUUAUAAAUUGAGGUUUGGGUUAGUCUAACGCAAAAGCCGAUGUUUUGUGUUUUAUCAUGUGAACUCCAGCCCUUUAUAGCCCUUCACAUGAAUACAGUUAUUUUUAAAUUAGAAAGAUUAAAAAUUCACUUUGCUUUUUAAAAAGAAAAGGCAAAAGGAAUAAAAACUGUUUUUUAAAAAAACUUUUUCUGACUUUUUAUUAUGUGAUAAACAUUGUGUAAGAUACUUUCAAAUGCUUUGUACUGAAUCCCUAAAAUAAAAAUUAGAUUAUUUCUAUUGUAAAUAUAACAGGUAUGGUUGGAAUUAUGAAUUCUAGACUUCAUUUCUAGUUAAUAUAAUCCAUAUUUUUCUUAAUUAGGUGGAUAAUAGAUUUUUUUGACCUCAGGUAAACAUCAUAGAUAAUGGAUGUUUUGCUUUUAUUUUUAAAAAAAAAUUUUUAAGGUUUAUUUAUUUUUGAGAGAGAGAGCAAGAGAGUGUGCGUGCUUGAGUGGGGGAGGGACUGAGAGAGAGGUAGACACAGAAUCUGAAGUAGGCUCCGGGCUCUGAGCUGUCAGCACAGAGCCCAGCGUGGGGCUCAAACUCAUGAACUGCUAGAUCAUGACCUAAGCUGAAGUUGGAUGCUUAACUGACUGAGUCACCCAGAAGCCCCUGUUUUGCUUUUAGAUAUCAACAAUUGCAACCCCCCCUUUUUUUGCUAGAUUUAUUUAUUUACUUACCAAAUUUUCAUUGCGUACAUAUAAUAGGCCAGGUACCCUUCUAGGUGCUGGAGAUGGAAAUAGAAACAUCUACCCCUAUAGAACUUACAUUCUACCGAAUUUUAUCUCUAGAACCAACUCAUACACUACCUGGAAAAAUAUGAGUUACAGGUAAUAUGCCUAUUUGAUAAUCUUCACCUACCAUUAGUUUGAUUCAAGAGUUCAGGAUCAUCAAAACAUCAAACUUAAAUUGUAUCUUAAUCUGCCAAUUGGUAAAACAAUUUCUUCCUUUGGCUUUUUUUUUUUUAAUUUCAAGAAAAUCAUUAGAAUAAAGUGCUCAUAUGUUUACCUGAAACAGACUUCCCUUCAGUCAACAAAUAACAUCAACAGCAAAUUCUGAGACUGAGUAGGUGGCUAUAUUAUUGAGCUUCUUUUAAUUGUUUUUGACAGUCAUCUCUCUUAUAUUCCUUUGCUUUCUUAUCCUUACCUCUAUGCCUAAGGCCUAACACAACCGCUUUAUAUGGGGGUUAUCUCGUACCUUCUUACAUUCAUUCUUUUUUUUUUUUUUUCUAUUCCUAGUGACAUUUCUCCGUUUCUCCAUUACUUUCUUGCAUCUGAAUGCAUGGAAUGAAAAGUUUCAAAGUUGUUAUGUGUGUGAAGGAGUCUUGUUUCUGUGGUUACAAUUAUUAUCAUACAAUUGUAUUAUCAUACAAUUAUUAUCAUAUAAUAAUGUGAUGUUUCAGAAUAUAUAUUAAUCUGUUACAAGUUUCACUCAGUCCUUAAAAUUCAUCAUUACAUAUAUAAACCGGUUGCCUUCAUUCUCUGAUUAUUUGAACAGUUUAACAAGAUGGAAAAGUACAGAAAAUUAGAGGACAUUGCCCCACAAAGUACAAAUAUUAUACACACCCUAGACAAAAGCAGGAAGUUCAGAAAACAAUGGGGGGGAGAUAAUUUCCAAGAAAGCUAUAUAAAUGCUUUUUCUUUAAGCUAAACACAGAUGAGCAUGAAAAUAGAAAAACUGUUAUUAGGUAGAAAGCAGAAUUUAUUUAACCUUUUCUGGUUGUGGGUAAUUGGCACAGAAAGGAAACUUUGAUCCCACGACUUGUGGGUACAAGAGCUGGAGUUGUUUUCUUCUUGCCAGAGCCACGGCAUCAAAGAAAGAUGCUUAAAACAUGUUUAAAAACAUGUUCCUAGUAGUAGACAUACUUGCAGAAUUGGAAAGCUUAGCCUGAAAUUGCAGCACUUGCCUAUCUCUGUGCAUUAGAACACAGAAAUAGAAACAGCUUAUUAUCUAGAAUUCUAAUUGGCGAAUAUUCUAAACUUUUAAAAUCAAAACUUUGAACAGCAUGCUAUUAGCUUAUCAAGUUUCACUUGAGUAAGCAGUUGACAUGAACUGGAUUGGAUCAACGUGCUAAGGGACAUGGGUGAUGCUCAUGGAAUGACACAGAGCCGUAUGAGUAAAGAGGAAACAGUUACACCGGAACAGCCCCAGAGACAUUGUGCCUAGUUACACCUUAACUAAAGAUGAUUAUUACACCAGGCACUCCUUCCCUCUUUCCCUCCUUAUUUCCUUCCUCCCUUCCUUCCUUCCUUCCUUCCUUCCUUUGGAUUGCAUAAUUUAUUAAUAUCUAUACACUGUGAUAGGUUUUAGAGAUACAACAGUGAACAAAAACCACAGAAUCUCCUCCUCAGAACUCACACUUUAGUUAUUUAUGUAUAUUUUUCAUAGUUUGGUAAUAUUAGUAUAGAGGUAGAGACUCUUUGCUACCUACCCCAUAUCCACUGAAACAUUUUUUCCUUUUAAAGAAAUUUGGGGUGCCUGGGUGGCUUAGUCGGUUGAGUGUCUGACUUCAGGUCAGGUCAUGAUCUCAUGGUUUGUGAGUUCGAGCCCUGCAUCGGGCUCUGUGCUGACAGCUCGGAGACUGGAGCCUGCUUCAGUUUCUGUGUCUCCCUCUCUCUCUGACUUUCCCCCAUUCAUGCUCUGUCUCUCUCUGUCUCAAAAAUAAAUAAACGUUAAAAAAAAAAUUUUACAUAAAGAAAUCUCUGUUAUUGAGGGUGCCAAUGUAGACAGAUAAAACAUUUCCCAUCUUUCCUUUAAAAGAGAGUUAUCCAACAAAAUGUAAGCAAAGGUCAAUGGAUGAGUUUCCCAGCAAACUUCUUUAACUGAGGGCUACAUCCUUGUGCACUUUGUCCUUCUUCCUUCCUACUAUAUGGAACAUGGAUAUGAUGGCUGGAGCUGAAGCAGUUAUUUUAAAACCAUGAGACAACUUGAACACGGAAGCAAUAUUCUAAAAAUGUAGAGGGGAAAAAAAUCAAAGGAGCCUGAUUUGGCCCAAAGAUCAGGAAAGCCUGCCUAUGAAUUUCCGCUACAUGAAAAAUAAAGUCGUAUGUGCUUCUUAAAUUAUUUCAGUUUUUAAAAAUAUGCCAUUCUUUCUAAUUAUGACAGAUACCCAAAUAUACAUAUAUAUGUAUAUGUGUAUAUAUAUGUAUAUGUACAAAAGACAUAAAUUCUAACACAAACACAAAUUUAUACACAUAUAAUGAGAUGUUAUUCCAAAUGAGGACUUGUUUAUUUUCAGUCAAAACUUCCACAAACCCCUGCCAUUCCAGCUUUAAAAGUUUUUCUGUUGAAAGACUGCUUGAAAUGUUUUGAGGAAAGAUGCCCAACUAGAGAAACUGGUUGGCCAUUCUAUGCAAUUUUUGGUAUUCAGAAGGGAUAAACUAGUCAAGAGGAGGAGCCCCUUACCCACUGAAGUUCAAGAUAAGCUACUCCUGUUAUGACAUCUUCUACAUUUGCUUUGAUUUCAGUUCUACCAUUUUCUAAAUUCUUAGAGUGUAUCUUCUAUGUCAUCAAAUUCAUUGUUGAAUUAACUGCCUUUUAGUAAUUGUCAUUGAUUAUGGGUAUCUUCUCUCUUCAGUAAAAUUACCCUUGCAAAGAAGAACAGUAUCUCUUCAUGUUAUGUUAGCCACCAGGCUGAGACUAGGACAAGCUAUUCAAGUAUUAACUAGGUGAUCGUAUGACCCAGAGAUCCUUGUUUAGUGAAUAAAACAUGGUAUUUUGAUUUGGAAUAUUUAAGGUUUCUUUGUUUUGUUUUGUUUUUUAAAGGGUGCUUGGGGAAAACCUGGGUGGCUCAGGCAGUUAAGCCUCUGAUUCUUGGUUUCGGCUCAGGUCAUGAUCUCAUGGUUUGUGAGAUCAGGCCUUGCGCUUGGUUCCACACUGGUGGUACAAAGCCUGCUCGGGAUUCUCUCUCUCUCUCUCUCUCUCUCUCUCUCUUCCCCCACACACACUCCACACAUGCACAUGUGCACACUCUCUCCCUCUCUCUCAAAAUAAAUAAAAUAAACUUUUAAAAAAUGUUAAAAGGUAUUUAUAUGAGCACUUCUUAUAAGAUAAAUGUUUUCUUUUUUUAAAUAUUUAUUUCUUUUUGAGAGAGAGAGAGAGAGAGACAGAGCCUGAGCAGGGCAGGGGCAGAGAGAGAGGGAGACACAUAAUCUGAAGCAGGCUCCAGGCUCUGAGCUGUCAGCACAGAGCCCAAUGCAGGGCUGGAACACAUGAACGGUGAGAUCAUGACCUCAGCUGAAGUCAGACACUUAACCCACUGAGCCACCCAGGUGUCCCAAGAUAAAUGUUUUCUAAAACACAUAAAAGUUUCAUCUCUUGUUACAACCUACAAGAGCAUUUUUAGAAGAAUGUCUUUCGGGGACACCUCAGUGACAAGUUUAGUGACAAUAGUCAAUAGGCUGCUCUUCCAUUCUUUCAUUCAGCAGAUCUUUCUUGAGGACCCUCUACCCAGCAAGCAUUGAUCUAAGCUGGAGGGGAAGGGGAGGGGUGAGACGGAUGGGAUGGUAGUAAGGCAAAAACUGCACCACAAAGAACUAUUCUAACUGGAAAAGCAGACUACAAACAAGUAUUUCGAAUGUAUAAUAUAAUUCUAUAUCAUGAGAAUAAAAAGUUCUCGAAAUAAUUUAAAGCAGAAUGGUAGAAAAGAAAAUGAUAGGAAGAACUAUUUUUCCACGUGGAGGUAGCAAAGCCAACAAAACGAAGCUCUGGAAAGUGGCUUGCAGGUCCCCAGUUAGAGAUGCCCUGGGUUUAUCCCAGAAAUAGCCAGAAGUCUAGUAUGUCUGGACAGCCAUGAGUGAGGCGUAGUGCUAGGGGAGGGGCACCCAGAGAGAGGCAGGGAACAGAUUGCUCAAGAUUUCGGGGGUGAAAGUAGGAGUUUGCUUUGUACUCCAAAGGUAAUGGUAAGUGACCAGAAAGUUUUAAUCAGGGCAAUGCAUUAUCAGAUUUACAUAUUAAAUUGAUCUUCUGGCUACAAGAUAAAGGACAGAGUGUUUGAGAUGAUGAAAGGAAACUGAGAGACCAGGUAGUAGAUGACAAAGGAAGAAAGAAUGUGGAGUGGACUAAGGAGAGUAGUGUUGAGAAGUCAAAAGGGGCGACAUUCAGCAAAUACUCAGCUAGUAGAACUGAGAAGACUUGCUGAUGUAGGCGAUGUGGUGGCAAUAUUUUGGUUAGAGUCAACAUAUAGAGCAGAUGAAAUCCAGAGUGACAAUAUAACACACUGAAGUACUCAAUAAAAUGUUCUCAUUUCAUCCAGAGAGAACAAAGCUUUCCUUAAAACAUUUUGCCUUUCAACUGUCACUGGAUAAAUGGAGUCAGAGAAUACUAUUACGAAUUCUUAUUGGCGGUGAGUAUUUCUUUUAAGUGGCUAAUCAGGAGGUAGAGGGAGAAAAAAUAAAGAAUGAUAAGUUGUAGGAUGAUCAUUAUUUUGUAAACAAUGUAAACGAUCUGGAUUCUAAAUUAUAAAUGUCAAAUAUUGCUACUUUUAUUUUGCCUCAGACCUUCACUCUGUCCCCUGGCAACUGGCAAUUUUAAUUAUAGUAAGAAAUUUUUUUUAAAAAAUUGACAACUUAAAAAUGUAUAAAACCAGAUUGGAUAAGUUGAAAGGGCUCAGUAGGAUGCUAGGUAUAUUUUAUUUUUGAGUUAUUGGGUACCAUCAGAAAGAUAGACAUUCAGAGGAAGGAGCACAUACCAGAAAAUUGACAGCUUUGCGAAUGGCUUGAAAGGUAGGAGAAAGAUAUAUUUUAAAGAAUACCAGAGAAAAGGAGUGAAACCUCCCAAAUGUAGAGAACUCGGUGAUUAAGUGUGUUGUCAAUAGCUUCUGACAGUAGGCAUGCAGUGAGACUUUGGGUAUUUCACACACUGGCACUUUUGCACCACACAGAUAAACACAAAUCAACUAUUUUGCUCACUGAGUUUGAUGAGUUUACUCCAUUUCCUCUAUAGUCAACACUACUAGGAUUUAAUGGUAUUUAUUGUUGAUUCCACUGGGAAUCUGGAAUCCAAACUAUCUGGAAUAUAGCUGAUUUGUGACAGAUCACAGUGAGAGGUGAAUCCACCGGUGAUGGAUAGGUAGGCAGGUAGAUAGGUAGACAGGCACUGGGGCCACUGUGGCCAGAUUGUUGUAUCCAAAGAAGGUGAAAAUAUUUUCUAUGCCCUUGUGUAAAAUUCCCAGUUUAUUUUUAUACGAUAGCUCUUACUUAGACAGUCUUUUCAAUUUUAGAAAUUAAAAACCAAAAAGGAACUGAUGAACAAAAUAACUUCCCAGAAAUCAUUUUGGAAGCACUCAGAUUUUAACACUCAAUUCUCAUUAAAAGUCUCAAUGUGGGAAACUUCUAAAAGUGAAUCAAGAUCAAAUGAUAUCAGCAGUAACAGUUUUUGCCAAGAUAAAGCCUGACCUUUCUAACUUAAGCUAGGUUAUCAGGUUCACUGGAGAGAAUAAUGGAACUUGUCGUUGGAACUAGUAGUUAGCAAUUAGGGACUGUGCAUUAUAAUAAUUUCAUUUAGCAUUUGAACAACUUUAAGAUGUGAUUAUUAUCUCCUUUUCAUAAGAUAAAGAAAGAGAGAUUCAAAAAGAUAAAUAUUAUCUGGGACUUGUAAAGAAAAGUAAAUGGUGGAACAGUGAUUUACACUCACCCUUUUUGUGGUAUUCCUACACCCUUCUUGCAGUAGGGAAUCUUCAUUGGACUGAAAGGAAUGGUUAGAAGGUAAAUUUCAGCUCCUAAAAAGGAAGCACCUUCUAUCUAUUAAACACUCUUCAAGCAAAACAGACUUUCUCAGGAGAUCUCUUCCGGCUGCAAGAUCAUAUGAGUCUACUAUGAUAUUCUAUAAUCAUGAUAAAAUAAACUAAGAAUGGGAUUUUUAUCAUGCAAUUCAAUGUAUUAUAAAAAAAGAGUCAGGUAGGUAUAUAUCACCCUUAACAGCACCCGGGGAAGGCAAGGAAAGAUGGGCCCAUAACCCCUUCACCACUGUGCGACUACACCAGACUGAUGCUGUUCAUCUUUAGUUGCCUUGCAGGGCAAUAAGGGAAGACACCAGAGUCGGAUUGUGAGUACCAGCCACAGGGAGCUACACAUGAAUUAAUUCAUGUUUUGUCCAGAUCAACCAGUAAGAGAAAAAUGCACCAGAGUUUUGUGGGGUCACAACUGCCAACCUUAUCUUCUCCAACUUUGGAAAUAGAGAUCUGAUAUUUACUUCGCAUCUUCACAAAAGCAUCCUCUGUCUUCAGAAGGAAACUGAAGUGAAAUUACCUGGCUAGUAAUUAGCCAAACAAAAUUGGCCUGGCUAGUGACUCAAGGUACUCUGGAUUGUUAUGAAUCCAAUACAAAUUUAUUUAAGAGGGAAAAAAAAAAUGCUACUCUAAUCUAACCACAAAUGUCCUUUAUCACAUAGAUACUUCUCAUUCAGCUGAUGCAUUAGAACCAUACCAGUUAUAUUCCUAUUUCUUGAGAAGUUGCACUUUAUCUAAUUUGUUUACAUUUUGACCUUCGCCAAUAGUUCUGAUCAAUUUAUUUGUAACUGUUACAUUCAUACAUAAAUAGAAGCUAUAGUUCUACCAUUAAAUAAUAUCUACUUAAAUUUCAGGUAUUAUGGCUACUGAUAGUCACAAGAAA